Molecule: transfer RNA, 73 nt
Organism: Paenibacillus antarcticus
Lineage: Bacteria; Bacillati; Bacillota; Bacilli; Caryophanales; Paenibacillaceae
Rfam family: tRNA
About the family: Transfer RNA (tRNA) molecules are approximately 80 nucleotides in length. Their secondary structure includes four short double-helical elements and three loops (D, anti-codon, and T loops).
Source: Rfam
GAGUCAUUAGCUCAGUCGGUAGAGCACCUGACUUUUAAUCAGGGUGUCGAAGGUUCGAAUCCUUCAUGACUCA